Eriocheir sinensis (Chinese mitten crab) is the source of this 551-nucleotide long non-coding RNA. RefSeq lists it as uncharacterized. The transcript has 3 exons. Lineage: Eukaryota; Metazoa; Arthropoda; Malacostraca; Decapoda; Varunidae. The record is from RefSeq and is a predicted model, not a curated record.
CGACAUCUGGAGUGCAUCUGCUGCGCCCUCUCCUGGUGCUGCUUUAAGAGGUGAGAAUCAUCGGCAGGGUCACGCAAACUGUUCGUAGCAGGAUGUGUCUCCUCGAAUAUUUCCUACUCGUCGGAUCCUCGCCUCUUAUCCAUUCCUCCUUCACCACACCUCUCCUAGUUUAGGGAAAAAGAGAGCCAGCUGCGUGCCGCACCUUACCCUAAUGGUGCGGAAAUCCGAGCAGGAGACGCAGCGUGCCUCGGGGGACUCCUGCGUAAGGUUCCCAGCCUCGGGGCGUGCCACAGUGGAAGGGAAAAAGGGUGCUAGACGAGAGUACGAGGAAUCAGAGAUGUGUUCGAACUCUUAUGGAAGUGUUGGCUCAGCAGAUCCAUCCAGCAGCGCCCUUCAAAGCCUUCGUGUCGCUCUCUGCAUCACAAUCCCCCAUGUGCUCUAGUACAACACUGCAGCAGGGGCGAUCGGGUUCAGUGGUUGUUUUUGUCAACUGCGAGGCUCCAGAGAAAAUAGGAGAUUCACAGUGAAAUAAAAAGGAAAAAAUGUUUGGA